AAGACCACAAAGGGAAAGUACCACCCUCAUAACUUCAGAACAAGGGUACAUACUGUUCACGUGGUUUAUCACUGUUGACGUGGAUCUGCAUCACAAGGCUAGUAUUUGCCAGAUUCCUGACCAAAGUGGUGUUUGCCAGAUUUCUCCACUGUAAAGUUAUAUUUCAGCCCCCUUUCCAUACGGUAUCCUUUGGAAGGAAGUCACCAUGCAUAGCCCACACUUGACAAGGUUUCCCAAUGGAAGCCAUGGUUACUGUAAGCAGAGUUCUAAGGUGGGUGACAAUGUCAAAGAUGGCCGGCUACAUGUGUGAAGGACUAGACGGCUUGUCAGAGAUCUAGGGAGAUCUACCUACAGCUAGUUGUCUCCCCAGCAGAAUGAGUAAUACCUGGGCUGAAGGGAGGUUGAAGAUGCAAGAGACAGAAGAGAACUAAUGAAUGAGACUCCUUGGAUGGUGAAGAGUGAUGCGAUCCACAGGAGAAUGGGAGAUGUGGUCUUUGACAAUUUUCAAAGACUGGAAGCAGUAGCAGGAUGAAGAUGCAGAAUGGUUUGUAGAAGGAUGAAGGGAAAAGAGGCAGCAUGGUGGAACGUUUAGGAGUCAGACUGUGAAGACGGGCUCAAAUCCAGCUUCUUCCACUUGCUGAAUUUGGUUAAAUGCUGCUCUCUGAACUUCAAUUUCUUCAUCAGUGACAUGGAAGCAAAGUGUUACCUAUAACAUAGAUUCGUGAAUUUUUAAAAGAGUUAACACUUUAUAAGAGCACUUAAAAAUAUCUGGCACCUACCAAGUGCUGUAUGGGUGGUUGUUGUCAUUCAGUUGCUCAGUGUAUCCAACCCUGUGACCGCAUGGACUAAAGCAUGCCAGGCUUCCCUGCCCUUCACCAUCUCCCAGAGUUCGCUCAAACUCAUGUCCAUUGAGUUGGUGAUGCUAUGUUUAUGUUAUUGUGAGAGGAUAAAGAAGGUCCUGUGUGAUGGUUUCUACUUUAUGCAAGAACUGGGAUGAAGAUGAAAAAGCUGUUAACCUUUCCAAAAUGCAGAAUCAUGUAAACAAUGAGAGCACCUUUUUGCUGUUAAAUUGCUCAUGAUGUAAAGACUGUAAUACCCACUGUGCAUGAUGGAGGGGUGAAUCAGGCCUACACCUCCACAUCUGGUGAAAGCAUAACGUGUACAUCCUCUUCAGGAGGCAAUUCGGUUCUAUGAAUCACAAGAUUUUAUUAUGCCAAUAACACAGAGGUCCUCAGAGGAGGGGUGUGUGCUGUACAGAGCAGGUGGAAAGUCCUGCCACUGAGAAAGCCAGCUACUUACAUUUGACUCCAUCCCCAGUCCCCUGACUGGUGAAACUCCGAGUCUUCUCUGUGGCUCCUGUUAAUUCCCAGGUUUAUGCUCUGCAUGUAAUUGGCCUCGGGCUACCAUGUUUGUAUGCUGUCUUUAUUUCUCUUUCCAACAAUUUGGCUUCUUCACAAGUCUCCGAAAGAAAUCCACACAGAAGGAGGGGGGUCUUGGAGCCCACAGUCUUAUAUUUUAUUUCUCUCUCAUAUUCUCUGUCCCCACCCCCAACCGCUCCACCGAGUCUCCGUCCUGCCAUUGCCGCUGGGGAUUCAAAAUUCUCUAUUGUGCAGAGCACUUCAACUCUCCCAAAUUUCUAAUUCCAAUAUUGCACAGUAAGCCCUUCAGAACAUCCUGGAGAGUACUGUAAGACCAACUGUGUUCUUACAAGGGUCAUCAAUGACAAAAUUUUACUACUGCUUCAGCUAUUCCAUGUCUAGAGUUGCUGCUGCUGCUGCUAAGUCGCUUCAGUUGUGUCUGACUCUGUGCGACUCCAUAGACGGCAGCCCACCAGGCUCCCCCAUCCCUGGGAUUCUCCAG
This is a long non-coding RNA of Bubalus bubalis (water buffalo), 1860 nucleotides long. RefSeq lists it as uncharacterized. Lineage: Eukaryota; Metazoa; Chordata; Mammalia; Artiodactyla; Bovidae. The transcript has 3 exons. The record is from RefSeq and is a predicted model, not a curated record.